UACGUAGGGUGCAAGCGUUAAUCGGAAUUACUGGGCGUAAAGCGUGCGCAGGCGGUGAUGUAAGACAGUUGUGAAAUCCCCGGGCUCAACCUGGGAACUGCAUCUGUGACUGCAUUGCUGGAGUGCGGCAGAGGGGGAUGGAAUUCCGCGUGUAGCAGUGAAAUGCGUAGAUAUGCGGAGGAACACCGAUGGCGAAGGCAAUCCCCUGGGCCGGCACUGACGCUGAUGCACGAAAGCGUGGGGAGCAAACAGG
This 253-nucleotide ribosomal RNA is filed under the name uncultured bacterium. Its description in RNAcentral is "partial 16S ribosomal RNA". It matches the Rfam family "Bacterial small subunit ribosomal RNA", at positions 524 to 776 of the family's 1533-position model. The record is from RNAcentral.